CAGUCGCCGCGGGAAAACGGAGGGUGCGAGCGUUAAUCGGAAUUACUGGGCGUAAAGCGUACGCAGGCGGUUUGUUAAGUCAGAUGUGAAAUCCCCGAGCUUAACUCGGGAACUGCAUUUGAAACUGGCAGGCUAGAGUCUCGUAGAGGGGGGUAGAAUUCCAGGUGUAGCGGUGAAAUGCGUAGAGAUCUGGAGGAAUACCGGUGGCGAAGGCGGCCCCCUGGACGAAGACUGACGCUCAGGUACGAAAGCGUGGGGAGCAAACAGGAUUAGAUACCCGCGUAGUCCCUGUCUCUUAUAC
This 301-nucleotide ribosomal RNA is filed under the name uncultured bacterium. RNAcentral describes it as "partial 16S ribosomal RNA". It matches the Rfam family "Bacterial small subunit ribosomal RNA", at positions 509 to 807 of the family's 1533-position model. The record is from RNAcentral.